GAUGAACGCUAGCGGGAGGCUUAACACAUGCAAGUCGAGGGGCAGCACGGGGUAGCAAUACUCUGGGUGGCGACCGGCGCACGGGUGAGUAACGCGUAUGUAACCUGUCCUUUACAGGAGGAUAACCCGGAGAAAUUCGGACUAAUACUGCAUAAUAUUAUUUUGGGGCAUCUCGAGAUAAUUAAAACUACGGUGGUAAAGGAGGGGCAUGCGUAACAUUAGCUAGUUGGGAGGGUAACGGCCUACCAAGGCAAUGAUGUUUAGGGGACCUGAGAGGGUGACCCCCCACACUGGUACUGAGACACGGACCAGACUCCUACGGGAGGCAGCAGUGAGGAAUAUUGGUCAAUGGGCGAGAGCCUGAACCAGCCAUCCCGCGUGAAGGAAGAAGGCGCUAUGCGUUGUAAACUUCUUUUCAGGGGAUAAAAUAUUGUAUGUAUACGAUACUGAAGGUACCCUGAGAAUAAGCAUCGGCUAACUCCGUG
Molecule: ribosomal RNA, 485 nt
Filed under: uncultured bacterium
Lineage: Bacteria
Description: bacterial SSU rRNA
Rfam family: Bacterial small subunit ribosomal RNA
Source: RNAcentral